AAUCAUCAGGGCUGUCGGAAAGCUCAAACCAAGUAGCACUGUGUUGAAACAGCAGAAAGCAGAAGAGUCUGCUGAACGCACUUGUCCAGGAAUCGGAUGGCAGAGGGGAAGAAGCUGUUCCUGAAUCGCUGAGUGUGUGUCUUCAGGCUUCUGUACCUCCUACCUGAUGGUAACAGUGAGAAAAGGGCAUGCCCUGGAUGCUGGAGGUCCUUAAUAAUGGAUGCUGCCUUUCCGAGACACCACUCCUUGAAGAUGUCCUGGGUACUUUGUAGCACAAAAGAAUGCAGUACCAAAGCCCUCAGAGACCAAGAGAAGAACAGUUCAAGUUUGGAGAUUGCUUGGGUAUUCCAGCGCUCUACGAUCUCCAAGAGGAUUCCAGGAAGCAGAGGCAGCACGCGGGCACCUCGUGCAAAGAAGGUGCAAGCUGAAGUUCAACUCCAUUUUGCUAAAGAUUUCAUUGUUUGCCGAUUAAGCGAAAAGGGAGGUUGAAACAUCGAGUUGAAUGCAGAAGUUUGGAGAUCCUUUGGGUGAUUCAGCACUCUGCAGUCUACGAGAGGAUUCCAGGAGGCAGAGGCAGUGUGCACGAGCCUCGUGGCGGGCAGGCUGCGGGAUGGGGUUCAAGCCGAUGUUUGACUUCAUUUUGUUGAUUAAAGUGAUGAGGGAGAUUGAAGCAUCGAGGCGAAUGUGAAAGGGUUCUUUUGAAGACUCUGACCUGCAGGUGCAUGCUGACUUCGGUUCUUUGCGGGAAUGGGACCUGCACUUGGACUCUCACAAAUGGCCGUUAUUUGAGAUGCCAAGAACGUGGCCUAGAGGAUUAGCACGCCUUCGGAGUUUUGGGAUUUCAUGGCAGGCGGACUCGAGGUCAGUGCCUCUGCAGGAAAUUGGUAUGUCGUGGGAGACAGAAGAUUGAAAGCAGCUAGCUGGCAGCUGGCUGUGUGCCCAGGGACCCAAUUUCUUUGGGCACAGAGUUCGGAAAAAGGGAUGCAAUCGAUUUGUAACACUGUACAUCAGUGAUUAGUUUGUUAUGUUUCCCCUCUUGUGUGUGAAACGGGGACACUUCUUCUUCCCUUAUUAGGGAGUGAGAGAGCCUGUGGUAUGUCAAAUUACCGGGUGAACAAGUAGUUUUUGGGGUACUGCAAAUCUGUGUCUUUAUUGAUGACACAAUAAAGACACGCUUCA
Mobula hypostoma (lesser devil ray) is the source of this 1179-nucleotide long non-coding RNA. RefSeq lists it as uncharacterized. The transcript is spliced from 5 exons. Lineage: Eukaryota; Metazoa; Chordata; Chondrichthyes; Myliobatiformes; Myliobatidae. The record is from RefSeq and is a predicted model, not a curated record.